GGAUUGCAUUUUUGCUGGGCGUUUUGUAUAUUUCAUAUGUGCCACUAAGUUCAAACUCCCCAAAUUAUGCUCAGCUAAGUCUUCUGAGUAAAAUGACACCCCAUAUGAAUGUCUUUGGCACUAUUUCGUGAAGCUACAGUGCCAUAUAGGAGACCUGUCCUUUACAGUAUUCACAGUAGAAUUUUGAGAGAUGGAUUUAAUGAGCCUUAGCUUCCAUUUGGGGUAUUAUAACAGUUU
RNAcentral lists this long non-coding RNA (237 nucleotides) under Pelobates cultripes (western spadefoot toad). The record is from RNAcentral. Lineage: Eukaryota; Metazoa; Chordata; Amphibia; Anura; Pelobatidae.